Molecule: long non-coding RNA, 201 nt
Filed under: Lathyrus oleraceus (garden pea)
Lineage: Eukaryota; Viridiplantae; Streptophyta; Magnoliopsida; Fabales; Fabaceae
Description: Pisum sativum (pea) long non-coding RNA (PSAT_LNC002852)
Source: RNAcentral
UGAUGAUGAUGAUGAUGAUGAUGGUGAUGAUGAUGGUUCCGGUUCUGAGGCCGGUAGUGAAGAGAGUUCUGAGUCCUAUGAGGACUAAGUUUUUUUAUGUUAUGUUUUAUUUUCUUGUAUUUUCAGAUAUUUGGUAUUUUGGUUAUGUACUUUUUGGGGUGUUUUGUCCCCCACGCACAUUUUAACAUUUUGAAGUGAUGG